UACGUAGGGGGCAAGCGUUAAUCGGAAUUACUGGGCGUAAAGCGUGCGCAGGCGGUUGUGCAAGACAGAUGUGAAAUCCCCGGGCUCAACCUGGGAACUGCAUUUGUGACUGCACAGCUUGAGUGCGGCAGAGGGGGAUGGAAUUCCGCGUGUAGCAGUGAAAUGCGUAGAUAUGCGGAGGAACACCGAUGGCGAAGGCAAUCCCCUGGGACUGCACUGACGCUCAUGCACGAAAGCGUGGGGAGCAAACAGG
RNAcentral lists this ribosomal RNA (253 nucleotides) under uncultured bacterium. RNAcentral's name for it is "partial 16S ribosomal RNA". It matches the Rfam family "Bacterial small subunit ribosomal RNA", at positions 524 to 776 of the family's 1533-position model. The record is from RNAcentral.